This is a long non-coding RNA of Benincasa hispida (wax gourd), 653 nucleotides long. RefSeq lists it as uncharacterized. The record is from RefSeq and is a predicted model, not a curated record. Lineage: Eukaryota; Viridiplantae; Streptophyta; Magnoliopsida; Cucurbitales; Cucurbitaceae.
UCUAAAUAUGUGUGUCAAUUUCACUUUCUUUCCCUUCUUUUCUUUCCCAACCGAAACCCUAGUUAGUUUUUCAUCUGCAGAGCCAACUGUCCUGCUGAGCUCGUCGCUCGUCGUUUGGCCGCUGCUGCUGGUGCUCAUCGUUCGCAGCUGCUCCACUCUCACUCACUCAGCGCUAAGAGGCUUAGGUUUCUUCACCUGGUUAAACUCUCAGUUAAAUGCUGGGGAGGAGGCUUGAAGAAGCAGCAAAAAUUUGUCAAGACCCUUCUAAACCUCUCGGUAAUAAUAUAGCUCAGUGUGACUUAAUGUUUUCUGAGCUACAGUAGUUAGGCUUAGGAUUUAGUAAAUGGAGGUUAGAAGUUUAAUUUUAUUUGCUAUUAUAUAGUUUAUUAAUGCAUUUGGAUGUUAAAGUUUAAUUGUAUUUGCUAUUAUAAAUUUUAGGUCUAUUUGCUCCCAAAACUUGUUAAAGGAAUGUAUAUAUGUAUAUAUUGUUUGGUUCUAGGGGAAGUCUAUAAUUGGGCUUUUGUUAGGGCUUUUAAUAGAGUAGCCCAUGUUCUUGGGGCCCAGGCUUUGUCGUCUUCUUUUUUUUAUCUUGUGUUUGGACCUCAAAUCCUCCACUGUUGUUGUUGAAGUUUCUCUGGCAUGAUUUCCCUGCU